GCAUUAAUGGGGUAGUGGUAACCUGGGUCGUUGCCAUUUGUGUGUUGGGAUUUCGACCCGCCGGGGGUUCAAUUCCCCUUUAAUGCA
Hymenopellis radicata is the source of this 87-nucleotide non-coding RNA. The record is from the annotation of a GenBank genome assembly. Lineage: Eukaryota; Fungi; Basidiomycota; Agaricomycetes; Agaricales; Physalacriaceae.